GCCUGGGUGGCUCAGUCGGUUGGGCGUCUGACUUCGGCUCAGGUCAUGAUCUUGCAGUCCGUGGGUUCGAGCCCCGCAUCGGGCU
This 85-nucleotide transfer RNA is filed under the name Felis catus (domestic cat). It matches the Rfam family "tRNA". From Rfam's summary of the family: Transfer RNA (tRNA) molecules are approximately 80 nucleotides in length. Their secondary structure includes four short double-helical elements and three loops (D, anti-codon, and T loops). Further hydrogen bonds mediate the characteristic L-shaped molecular structure. tRNAs have two regions of fundamental functional importance: the anti-codon, which is responsible for specific mRNA codon recognition, and the 3' end, to which the tRNAs corresponding amino acid is attached (by aminoacyl-tRNA synthetases). tRNAs cope with the degeneracy of the genetic code in two manners: having more than one tRNA (with a specific anti-codon) for a particular amino acid; and 'wobble' base-pairing, i.e. permitting non-standard base-pairing at the 3rd anti-codon position. The record is from Rfam by way of RNAcentral. Lineage: Eukaryota; Metazoa; Chordata; Mammalia; Carnivora; Felidae.